This 468-nucleotide ribosomal RNA is filed under the name uncultured bacterium. RNAcentral's name for it is "partial 16S ribosomal RNA". It matches the Rfam family "Bacterial small subunit ribosomal RNA", at positions 28 to 507 of the family's 1533-position model. The record is from RNAcentral.
GACGAACGCUGGCGGCGUGCUUAACACAUGCAAGUCGAACGGAAAGGCCCUGCUUUUGUGGGGUUCUCGAGUGGCGAAGGGGGGAGUAACACGUGAGUAACCUGCCCUUGACAUUGGGAUAACUUCAGGAAACUGGGGCUAAUACCGCAUAGGAGCUCCUGCUGCACGGUGGGGGUUGGAAAGUUUCGGCGGUUGGGGAUGGACUCGCGGCUUAUCAGCUGGUUGGUGGGGUAGUGGCUUACCAAGGCUUUGACGGGUAGCCUGCCUGAGAGGGUGGCCGGCGACAUUGGGACUGAGAUACGGAGCAGACUGCAACGGGACGCAGUAGUGGGGAGUAUUGCACAAUGGGGGGAAGCCUGAGACAGCAGCGCCGCGUGCGGGAUGACGGCCUACGGGUUGUGAACCACUGUCGCCUGUGAUGAAGCGUGAGUGACGGUAAUGGGUAAAGAAGCACCGGCUAACUACGUG